UACGUAGGCAGCAAGCGUUGUUCGGAGUUACUGGGCGUAAAGGGUGUGUAGGCGGUUUUUUAAGUUUGGUGUGAAAUCUCCCGGCUCAACUGGGAGGGUGCGCCGAAUACUGAGGGACUAGAGUACGGGAGAGGAAAGUGGAAUUCCUGGUGUAGCGGUGAAAUGCGUAGAUAUCAGGAGGAACACCGGUGGUGUAGACGGCUUUCUGGACCGACACUGACGCUGAGACACGAAAGCGUGGGGAGCGAACAGG
RNAcentral lists this ribosomal RNA (253 nucleotides) under uncultured bacterium. RNAcentral's name for it is "partial 16S ribosomal RNA". It matches the Rfam family "Bacterial small subunit ribosomal RNA", at positions 524 to 776 of the family's 1533-position model. The record is from RNAcentral.